Molecule: long non-coding RNA, 433 nt
Organism: Meriones unguiculatus (Mongolian gerbil)
Lineage: Eukaryota; Metazoa; Chordata; Mammalia; Rodentia; Muridae
Exons: 3
Source: RefSeq, a predicted model, not a curated record
GAAGGGGAGGGUCGAAGCAAAGUGACAGCCCUUUUCCCCAACCCAGGAGGCAGAGACAGAGCAAAUGGAAACCUGUUGAACUUGUCUUUCUGGGAGAGGACUCUAAUUGGCCAAGCAGGAUGCUGCUAGGCUCUGGUGUCCAAGUGUCUAAGUCCCUGCUUCCAUGCCUUUGCUGGGUCACGUGUUCUCGGUGUUUAACCUUCUGCAAAGCCUUUGUCAGGGCUGUUUUGACGCGUGGAUAGGCUCCCAGAGGUAAGCAGUUUCCUCCGGCAGACUCUCUCACCAUUCUCCACGUCCCCUUCCCAGCUUCCAAAAUAACGGCACAACUGAUCAUGAACUGAAAUCUUCAGUUCUGUGAAACCAAGAUUAACCUGUCUCUUUUCUGUGAGCUGAUUAUCUCAGUUAUUUUGCUAUAUUAACGAGAAGCUAGCGG